UACGGAGGGUGCAAGCGUUAUCCGGAUUCACUGGGUUUAAAGGGUGCGUAGGUGGGCUGGUAAGUCAGUGGUGAAAUCUCCAGGCUUAACUUGGAAACUGCCAUUGAUACUAUCAGUCUUGAAUACCGUGGAGGUCAGCGGAAUAUGUCAUGUAGCGGUGAAAUGCUUAGAUAUGACAUAGAACACCAAUUGCGAAGGCAGCUGGCUACACGAAUAUUGACACUGAUGCACGAAAGCGUGGGGAGCAAACAGG
This 253-nucleotide ribosomal RNA is filed under the name uncultured bacterium. Its description in RNAcentral is "partial 16S ribosomal RNA". It matches the Rfam family "Bacterial small subunit ribosomal RNA", at positions 524 to 776 of the family's 1533-position model. The record is from RNAcentral.